GACGAACGCUGGCGGCGUGCUUAACACAUGCAAGUCGAACGGAAAGGCCCUGCUUUUGUGGGGUGCUCGAGUGGCGAACGGGUGAGUAACACGUGAGUAACCUGCCCUUGACUUUGGGAUAACUUCAGGAAACUGGGGCUAAUACCGGAUAGGAGCUCCUGCUGCAUGGUGGGGGUUGGAAAGUUUCGGCGGUUGGGGAUGGACUCGCGGCUUAUCAGCUUGUUGGUGGGGUAGUGGCUUACCAAGGCUUUGACGGGUAGCCGGCCUGAGAGGGUGAACGGGCACAUUGGGACUGAGGUACGGCCCAGACUCCUACGGGAGGCAGCAGUGGGGAAUAUUGCACAAUGGGCGGAAGCCUGAUGAAGCAACGCCGCGUGCGGGAUGACGGCCUUCGGGUUGUAAACCGCUUUCGCCUGUGACGAAGCGUGAGUGACGGUAAUGGGUAAAGAAGCACCGGCUAACUACGUG
Molecule: ribosomal RNA, 468 nt
Filed under: uncultured bacterium
Lineage: Bacteria
Description: partial 16S ribosomal RNA
Rfam family: Bacterial small subunit ribosomal RNA
Source: RNAcentral